This 460-nucleotide ribosomal RNA is filed under the name uncultured bacterium. RNAcentral's name for it is "partial 16S ribosomal RNA". It matches the Rfam family "Bacterial small subunit ribosomal RNA", at positions 338 to 795 of the family's 1533-position model. The record is from RNAcentral.
CCUACGGGUGGCUGCAGUGAGGAAUAUUCGUCAAUGGACGAGAGUCUGAACCAGCCAAGUAGCGUGAAGGAUGACUGCCCUAUGGGUUGUAAACUUCUUUUAUAUGGGAAUAAAACGUUCCACGUGUGGGAUUUUGUAUGUACCAUAUGAAUAAGGAUCGGCUAACUCCGUGCCAGCAGCCGCGGUAAUACGGAGGAUCCGAGCGUUAUCCGGAUUUAUUGGGUUUAAAGGGAGCGUAGGUGGAUGGUUAAGUCAGUUGUGAAAGUUUGCGGCUCAACCGUAAAAUUGCAGUUGAAACUGGCAGUCUUGAGUACAGUAGAGGUGGGCGGAAUUCGUUGUGUAGCGGUGAAAUGCUUAGAUAUAACGAAGAACUCCGAUUGCGAAGGCAGUUCACUGGACUGCAACUGACACUGAGGCUCGAAAGUGUGGGUAUCAAACAGGAUUAGAUACCCCUGUAGUC